AGUCUAAAAUAGUUGCUUAGUUAUUCUGAUAAUCUUGCUUAUACAAUUAUGAUAGUUACGAUAAUCACCUAGGAGUUUCAAUUUUUGAAAGGAAAAAACAACAACAAUCAUUAGGCCCUUAAGAAAUCACGACAUGAGUUCUGAAUCUGACCAGCUACAAGAUAUAUCCUUCCUAAUAUUCAGAUCUAGUGGGAAAAACUACUACCCAACAAUAUACAUACAAUAUAAACUACUACUCAAAUUUGCACUAACAGAAUAGCCAGCUUCUUGAUUUGAGCUCCACGGAGUUUGCUCGUUCGGCUCAACUUCACUGCGGAGUUAAUGGAAGUUGAGAGCCGGAGCAUUGCCGAACAGGCCCUUAGUACAAACUGUUGCCAAACUUGAGAGCAUCAGAGUCAUAAGGUUCAUAACUGAAAGUCAAUAUAACAUGUUAGUUGCAACCUUAUUUGGUUUCACCAUAUCUGAACAUACACAUGCACUUGCUCUCUUUUUGCACCAUGGCACAAAAUUUGUGAUACAAGCAAAAGGAGUUCGCUUCCAUGGUUUUGUUCUGGCGCCAUUCUCAAUGCGCCGUUCAUUCACACGCAAUGGAAUUAUCUAUACCAUUAUAUAUGUACAGGAUGCAUAAUGAAGUAUAAGCAUAAUCUUUCUUUUUGUUAAAAACAUUGGCUUUGUGUACAUAGAUUAAUAAAACAUAUAUCCUAUAAACUCACAUAUGCUUCAAAUUUGUUUCAUAUAAAUUUAAUAAUUUGAUGCAACAAUUCAAUAAUGAGUCAUUCUAACAGAACUUUGAACUUUUAUCGUGUUUGACAAAAUAUCUCAUAGUUUUCUGUACUUUUAAUAGUGUUUCAUUGUGUUUUAGAAUUUGAUUUUUUUAGAACAUGCUGAGACACAUUCAGAAGUGGUGUUGUUUUGAAGUUCUCCUCGUCAUAAUCACAAUAUGCAAACGGAUCAUAAAUUGUACUUUUGGUUUGAAAGAUAAAAUCGUCUUAAAGUUGGAAAUAAAAUAACAAAGAAUGGGAUGGUGGAGCUUGCAUGUGGUCAGAGAAAGAUCUCACAAACUACAAACGGUAUUAAUGCGAAAAGGAUUAAGAAGAUCAAAACCAGCCGAAUAAGAAGAAUAGUAAUACAAAGAGCACCUAGGGGACUCACAUGUGCCUUAUGGCAUGUUCGUUCCCUCACAUCAUAUAUCCCACAUGCUAAAAGUAAUGGAAGUUAACACAAGCAGAUAUAGAAGACAAUGGUCGUUGCAGUUCCUGCCUCAUAUGUGGUUGUCUUGCUGAGAUUUAAAUAAUAUAAGAGGGGAUUAACAAAAUACCUGCAUACUAUAGGGAUUCUCCUCACGGACAUGGAGGAAAGGGGCAUCAGGCACAAGCGCCUUGUGCGGUUCUAGAUAUGGUAGGAUAUCUUCACCCAUAGACGUUGAUAUGUGUACAACCUUCUGCUGCCUCAAAAGCACACGAUGCACAACAUCGAAACAUCCGAACUCUGAAACAAAUCAGAGCAUGCCACAGGAUCCUCGGACAGGGUCAGACACAAAUAAUGUUGUAGGCACGGAAUUUUCCUCAUCCAUAUCUACACAUAACGCAGCAUGUGCACAAAACAACUCACAGUGGGAUAAAAUUUUUGGCUGCAAGUGUUCAGAUAAAAGGCAAAAGAUGCAGUACCUCAGACCAUCCACUAUUUUUAAAGAUUAUAAAACAUCUUCGAGGCAUUCCUCCAACUUAUCCUUAAAUCAUUUCCACCAUCGAAAUUGAAAAUAACUGCAGAACUCAAUAGAUAUAUACUCCAUGUAUAGCUCAACAUGCCCUGCACAGUUCCAUAUGUGUGCUCUCAAGACAACAGGAAAAUAAAAACAUGUCCAUGGAGUUGGAUAGUCAAAGAUACAUAAUAAACCAAAAAGAAUCAGUAGCAAAUCAUGACUAAUGCAGAUGGCCAAGCUAAUUGGGAACGGUUCAUCACAUGGACAAACAUUAAUACAACAUGGAGAGAGAUAAAUUUUCACAAUGAAUCUCUGUGUGCUCAGAUGGCAAAC
This 2035-nucleotide long non-coding RNA is filed under the name Triticum aestivum (bread wheat). RNAcentral describes it as "long non-coding RNA (TAES_LNC009362)". The record is from RNAcentral. Lineage: Eukaryota; Viridiplantae; Streptophyta; Magnoliopsida; Poales; Poaceae.